AUGCACCGGGGCUUCGGGGAUGCAAGCAGCAGAGCGCAGAUCGGACACAUGCUUCAGGCCCAUAGGAGCGAUCACCGCGUCCAGGAUUUUGUCUUUCAGCACCCUAGAUUUGAGCCUGGGAGAGCAGCCGGACAGCGCAUCCUUGAGCGCGCGGAGCUUGAUCGCCUUCGACUCCACGCUAACCCAGGUAGGGGCCUCCUUCCCAGCCAGACGUGCACUGCGGCGAUGCUUGCCCCCGUCGAGAGGGGCGGCCGAUGGCACAAGACAGCGCUCCACCGGCUCAGGCUCGCAGAUCUUCGUAAUGGAGAGCCGGGAGAGAGGGCUGGCCGAUCCAGAGGGGAACGGGGAGCCGGAGACACGGGGGACGGCCCAAGGAGGGGAGCAGUGGACGAAUCCAACCCCCCCACCCGCUGCAGGAGGAGGGAGAGGAGGAGCCCCAGCACCCGCAGCACGGAGGCCAGCUGGCGGCCGCCACCACGACCACGCCCACGAGCUGAACCCAAGACGGCGCCAGCCCCUCGACCACGCCCCAGCGGAUGCCCAUGCAGAGCAGGGUGGUUGUGGGCGAAGGGAGGGGGCAGCGUGCGGAAGAAGUUGAUGUACUGGCCGUCCCUGGUGUAG
Molecule: ribosomal RNA, 621 nt
Filed under: Triticum aestivum (bread wheat)
Lineage: Eukaryota; Viridiplantae; Streptophyta; Magnoliopsida; Poales; Poaceae
Description: partial small subunit ribosomal RNA
Source: RNAcentral